GACGAGCGCUGGCGGCGUGCCUAAUACAUGCAAGUAGAACGCUGAAGGAGGAGCUUGCUUCUCUGGAUGAGUUGCGAACGGGUGAGUAACGCGUAGGUAGCCUGCCUGGUAGCGGGGGAUAACUAUUGGAAACGAUAGCUAAUACCGCAUAAUAGCAGUUGUUGCAUGACAACUGUUUGAAAGGUGCAAUUGCACCACUACCAGAUGGACCUGCGUUGUAUUAGCUAGUUGGUGGGGUAACGGCUCACCAAGGCGACGAUACAUAGCCGACCUGAGAGGGUGGUCGGCCACACUGGGACUGAGACACGGCCCAGACUCCUACGGGAGGCAGCAGUAGGGAAUCUUCGGCAAUGGACGGAAGGCUGACCGAGCAACGCCGCGUGAGUGAAGAAGGUUUUCGGAUCGUAAAGCUCUGUUGUAAGAGAAGAACGAGUGUGAGAGUGGAAAGUUCACACUGUGACGGUAUCUUACCAGAAAGGGACGGCUAACUACGUG
RNAcentral lists this ribosomal RNA (495 nucleotides) under uncultured bacterium. RNAcentral describes it as "partial 16S ribosomal RNA". It matches the Rfam family "Bacterial small subunit ribosomal RNA", at positions 28 to 507 of the family's 1533-position model. The record is from RNAcentral.